This 419-nucleotide ribosomal RNA is filed under the name bacterium. Its description in RNAcentral is "partial 16S ribosomal RNA". It matches the Rfam family "Bacterial small subunit ribosomal RNA", at positions 355 to 776 of the family's 1533-position model. The record is from RNAcentral.
UGGGGGAUAUUGCACAAUGGGCGAAAGCCUGAUGCAGCGACGCCGCGUGGGGGAUGAAGGCCUUCGGGUUGUAAACUUCUUUUGCUCUGAACAAGGCGCACCCUGGGGUGUGUUGAGUGUAGGGGUUGAUUAGCGCCGGCUAACUACGUGCCAGCAGCCGCGGUAAUACGUAGGGCGCGAGCGUUGUCCGGAAUUAUUGGGCGUAAAGGGCUUGUAGGUGGCUGGUUGCGUCUGUCGUGAAAGCUCAUGGCUUAACUGUGGGUUUGCGGUGGGUACGGGCUGGCUUGAGUGCAGUAGGGGAGGGUGGAAGUACUGGUGUAGCGGAGGGAUGCGCAGAUAUCAGGAGGAAUACCGGUGGCGAAGGCGGGUCUCUGGGCGGUUACUGACACUGAGGAGCGAAAGCAUGGGGAGCGAACAGG